RNAcentral lists this ribosomal RNA (163 nucleotides) under uncultured bacterium. Its description in RNAcentral is "partial 16S ribosomal RNA". It matches the Rfam family "Bacterial small subunit ribosomal RNA", at positions 355 to 509 of the family's 1533-position model. The record is from RNAcentral.
UAGGGAAUCUUCCACAAUGGGCGCAAGCCUGAUGGAGCAACACCGCGUGAGUGAAGAAGGGUUUCGGCUCGUAAAGCUCUGUUGUUGGAGAAGAAACGUGCGUGAGAGUAACUGUUCACGCAGUGACGGUAUCCAACCAGAAAGUCACGGCUAACUACGUGCC